AUCUUUGGGAGCUUGCUCCCGAAGGUUAGCGGCGGACGGGUGAGUAACACGUGGGCAACCUGCCUAUAAGACUGGGAUAACUUCGGGAAACCGGAGCUAAUACCGGAUAAUUCUUUUCUACACAUGUAGAAAAGCUAAAAGACGGUUUACGCUGUCACUUAUAGAUGGGCCCGCGGCGCAUUAGCUAGUUGGUGAGGUAACGGCUCACCAAGGCCACGAUGCGUAGCCGACCUGAGAGGGUGAUCGGCCACACUGGGACUGAGACACGGCCCAGACUCCUACGGGAGGCAGCAGUAGGGAAUCUUCCGCAAUGGACGAAAGUCUGACGGAGCAACGCCGCGUGAGUGAUGAAGGUUUUCGGAUCGUAAAACUCUGUUGUUAGGGAAGAACAAGUACGAGAGUAACUGCUCGUACCUUGACGGUA
Molecule: ribosomal RNA, 424 nt
Filed under: uncultured bacterium
Lineage: Bacteria
Description: bacterial SSU rRNA
Rfam family: Bacterial small subunit ribosomal RNA
Source: RNAcentral